Molecule: long non-coding RNA, 562 nt
Organism: Cyprinus carpio carpio
Lineage: Eukaryota; Metazoa; Chordata; Actinopteri; Cypriniformes; Cyprinidae
Source: Ensembl
AUGCAGAUGAGAGCUAACCCGCUUCUGAUGUGUCUGGUUGUCUCUUUGUCUCCUCAGAUGGACAUGUGCGUGCUGGUUAACAGACCUGACAGAGCCCCGCUUCUGCGUUGCUAUCAUUGCCAUCAUCUUCAAACCGUUCUUCUGGAAUGUGGUGGCCAGAUGGGAGCACAGGACCAGAGGCCUGACCCGUCUGUUUGGAGGUCCAUAUGUGGCCUGUUAUUCCCUCGCUGUGCUCAUCUUGCUCUUCAAUGUUUACCAAAGCCACAGGUAACAGCAUCCACCGCUGUAUUAUGUAUUGUCAGGGUUCAGUACUCAGAAUCGCCAUUAUUGAUGCUGUAAUUUAUUCAAGCAACCCAUUUGGUCCCAUUUUGCAUAAGACCAAAGAUCCAGUGUUUACCUUUCACCCUUUUAUUGAUUUCAUCAAUAAUAAUAGUGUGACAUCUGUCUGACUAGCGGCACAUUCAGUUGCUUAUUUCAUUUGCUUUAUUCUCAUGAGGAUCUGGCCGUUGCCAUGGCAGCCUUCGUCUCUACGCUGCUGAUGCUGGUGUCAUCGGCGCCGCAU